AUGUAGCUUAGUGGUAGAGCAUUUCUCUGGCAUGCACAAAGACCUAGGUUUGAUCCCUAGCAU
RNAcentral lists this transfer RNA (63 nucleotides) under Heterocephalus glaber (naked mole-rat). It matches the Rfam family "tRNA", at positions 5 to 66 of the family's 71-position model. From Rfam's summary of the family: Transfer RNA (tRNA) molecules are approximately 80 nucleotides in length. Their secondary structure includes four short double-helical elements and three loops (D, anti-codon, and T loops). Further hydrogen bonds mediate the characteristic L-shaped molecular structure. tRNAs have two regions of fundamental functional importance: the anti-codon, which is responsible for specific mRNA codon recognition, and the 3' end, to which the tRNAs corresponding amino acid is attached (by aminoacyl-tRNA synthetases). tRNAs cope with the degeneracy of the genetic code in two manners: having more than one tRNA (with a specific anti-codon) for a particular amino acid; and 'wobble' base-pairing, i.e. permitting non-standard base-pairing at the 3rd anti-codon position. Lineage: Eukaryota; Metazoa; Chordata; Mammalia; Rodentia; Bathyergidae. The record is from Rfam by way of RNAcentral.